Molecule: ribosomal RNA, 307 nt
Filed under: uncultured bacterium
Lineage: Bacteria
Description: bacterial SSU rRNA
Rfam family: Bacterial small subunit ribosomal RNA
Source: RNAcentral
GACGAACGCUGGCGGCGUGCUUAACACAUGCAAGUCGAACGAACUCGGACUUCGGUCCUUAUGGGUGAGUGGCGAACGGGUGAGUAACACGUGAGAAACCUGCCCCGAAGUUUGGGAUAACUCAGAGAAAUUUGAGCUAAUACCGGAUGUCCUCUUUUAGCCGCAUGGUUGGUUGAGGAAAGAUUUAUCGCUUUGGGAGGGUCUCGCGUCCUAUCAGCUUGUUGGUGAGGUAAUGGCUCACCAAGGCAUCGACGGGUAGCUGGUUUGAGAGAACGAUCAGCCACACUGGAACUGAGACACGGUCCAG